This 468-nucleotide ribosomal RNA is filed under the name uncultured bacterium. RNAcentral describes it as "partial 16S ribosomal RNA". It matches the Rfam family "Bacterial small subunit ribosomal RNA", at positions 28 to 507 of the family's 1533-position model. The record is from RNAcentral.
GACGAACGCUGGCGGCGUGCUUAACACGUGCAAGUCGAACGGAAAGGCCCUGCUUUUGUGGGGUGCUCGAGUGGCGAACGGGUGAGUAACACGUGAGUAACCUGCCCUUGACUUUGGGAUAACUUCAGGAAACUGGGGCUAAUACCGGAUAGGAGCUCCUGCUGCAUGGUGGGGGUUGGAAAGUUUCGGCGGUUGGGGAUGGACUCGCGGCUUAUCAGCUUGUUGGUGGGGUAGUGGCUUACCAAGGCUUUGGCGGGUAGCCGGCCUGAGAGGGUGACCGGCCACAUUGGGACUGAGAUACGGCCCAGACUCCUACGGGAGGCAGCAGUGGGGAAUAUUGCACAAUGGGCGGAAGCCUGAUGCAGCAACGCCGCGUGCGGGAUGACGGCCUUCGGGUUGUAAACCGCUUUCGCCUGUGACGAAGCGUGAGUGACGGUAAUGGGUAAAGAAGCACCGGCUAACUACGUG